UCUCUUUCUCUCCUUAUUGGUGGAGAGAGAAACAGACAGAGGAGAGAGAGAGAGUAACAAAUACCUGUUUUGUAUCUCUCUCUCCUAUGUCUGGGCACAAAUCUUCCUCCCCUUCUUCUUCCUUCUGACCCUUAUCGAAUCAGAAGAAGAAACUAAAGAAGAAAAAGAAAAAACGAGGGAGAAGCUUCUGCAAGCUGCCAAUUUUUUUCUUUUGUCUGUCUGGGUCAGAGAGGGUUGUAAUUGUAACCAUGUAUUCCUCGUGUGUCUCAAACGGUGCCGUUUCUGGGUUCCAACGUAAGGAGUCAAUGGUUGACCCUUUCUUGGUCGAGGCUCUUCAGAACCCUCGUCACCGUCUCACCAUUUUGCGGAUGGAGCUGGAUAUCCAGAGGUUUCUGAAUAAUGCUGAUCAGCAGCAUUUUGAGUUUCAACAUUUCCCUUCUUCUUAUCUCAGAUUGGCUGCACAUCGUGUUGCUCAACACUAUGGUAUGCAAACAAUGGUUCAAGAUAAUGGCCUAGAUGGCCAGGGAACUAGAAUUAUGGUAAGAAAAUUAGCAGAAAGCAGGUAUCCUAUGGUCUGCUUAUCUGAAAUACCUACCAAACAAUUUGAAAAUGAUAAACCUGAGCUUAUAAAAAUUGCCAUAAGGCCUAGGCCUAAUAGCAGCAGUUUAAAUGAAGCCAAUGAACCUGGGAGGAAAAGCAAUCCUCUUAGAAGUGUGGAAGAGAGGAAGGAGGAAUAUGAUCGGGCACGAGCACGCAUCUUUAGUAGCACCACAAGUUGUGAUGCAGGUGGUACUCUGUCUCAGGUCUCAGUGGAUGAGAAAAUUUCUUUCGUAAGCAAGGAUGAGACUGAAACUAGCAAGAACCCCGUGGCUGAAUCAGAAAAAUGCACUAGUAGCAGGGAUAAUAGUUCUACUCGAGUUGCCAUCUUCAGAGAUAGGGAAAAGGAUCGUAGUGAUCCAGAUUAUGAUCGUAGCUAUGGAAGUAUGCACUGCUCUGAGCUCUCUAACCUUUUCAACACAAACCAUCAACACAUGGCACAUGUAGUGUUGUUUCCAGGCAAGCCUGGUAUUUUCCUGCAAAGCCUGGCCUACCUACUUUCAGUUCUCGCGGAAGCCUUCUAAGUAGAAGAAUGGUAUGCUAGGGGUAUUCCAACCUCUUCCCUCAAUUUUAUGCCCUAUAAUUUGCCACAAGUUCAACCUUCAUUUGCUCAGUAUGACGCUACUUUUAAUCAGCUGAGUCAUAUGUCACAAAAUCAAGCUUCACUUGGCUAUGGAUCUCCUUCAAGUCCUGUAAUGAAUCCUUUUGGUGUCACGGGAUUGAAUCAGGCAUCUAGGGAUGCUACUUACCCACAGUGGCCAAGUGCUGCAAUGAUCUAUGCACAUUCAUAUGAUCAAUUUAGACAUGCUGUUUUCCAAGCUCCGUUUGGUCAACAGCCAUUGAGCUUUGAUUAUUCACAGAAUUACUAGAUGACGUCUAGGGGUGCGCUUUUCCAUUUGGAUGUAGAAGUUACUUUAGCUAUUAAGGAUUGCAGAUUAGAUACAAUUUUUUCUGUACUGUCAUAGACCCAAAGUUCCUGUUUUGGUUUUUCAGUUUUGAUGGGGGUAGUAAAGCAUUUGGUGUUUCCUACUUCUAGUGACAUUUUGAUACUGGACUCUGGUGAAUUACUGGAUUUCAAAUGCAUGAAGAGUACUUAUUUCUGGUUACCUUGUCUAAUGUUAGGGAGGCUUUUUAUUCUAAGCUUGUGCAAACUAUCCCGUAGAUGGAAAUGAGUGAAAGCUGGUUUGGGCGUCUGUGUGGGCUUAUCCUUAUAGGGAGCUUUUGGCAUAGGAGGAAUAGAUGGUGCAAUCAUUCGAAGGGCUUUUUUUCGUUACCUACUUUGCAUUUUCAAAAAUCUGUCUUAAAUAAAUAAUAUUAUGUAAUUCUUU
Abrus precatorius (Indian licorice) is the source of this 1925-nucleotide RNA transcript. It is a transcript of the gene named cAMP-regulated phosphoprotein 21-like, with no coding region annotated. The record is from RefSeq and is a predicted model, not a curated record. NCBI's taxonomy places the organism in Eukaryota, Viridiplantae, Streptophyta, Magnoliopsida, Fabales, Fabaceae. The transcript is spliced from 5 exons.